RNAcentral lists this ribosomal RNA (887 nucleotides) under Trichoderma chromospermum. RNAcentral describes it as "partial large subunit ribosomal RNA". It matches the Rfam family "Eukaryotic large subunit ribosomal RNA", at positions 69 to 981 of the family's 3401-position model. The record is from RNAcentral. Lineage: Eukaryota; Fungi; Ascomycota; Sordariomycetes; Hypocreales; Hypocreaceae.
GAGGGAUUGCCCCAGUAACGGCGAGUGAAGCGGCAACAGCUCAAAUUUGAAAUCUGGCCCCCCCGCGGGGUCCGAGUUGUAAUUUGUAGAGGAUGCUUUUGGUGAGGUGCCGCCCGAGUUCCCUGGAACGGGACGCCGCAGAGGGUGAGAGCCCCGUCUGGCUGGCCGCCGAGCCUCUGUAAAGCUCCUUCGACGAGUCGAGUAGUUUGGGAAUGCUGCUCAAAAUGGGAGGUAUAUGUCUUCUAAAGCUAAAUAUUGGCCAGAGACCGAUAGCGCACAAGUAGAGUGAUCGAAAGAUGAAAAGCACCUUGAAAAGAGGGUUAAACAGUACGUGAAAUUGUUGAAAGGGAAGCGCUCGUGACCAGACUUGGGCGCGGCGGAUCAUCCGGGGUUCUCCCCGGUGCACUUCGCCGCGCCCGGGCCAGCAUCAGCUCGGCGCGGGGGAAAAAGGCCUCGGGAACGUGGCUCCUCCGGGAGUGUUAUAGCCCGUUGCGUAAUACCCUGCGGUGGGCUGAGGACCGCGCAUCUGCAAGGAUGCUGGCGUAAUGGUCACCGGCGACCCGUCUUGAAACACGGACCAAGGAGUCGUCCUCGUAUGCGAGUGUUCGGGUGUCAAACCCCUACGCGUAAUGAAAGUGAACGCAGGUGAGAGCUUCGGCGCAUCAUCGACCGAUCCUGAUGUUCUCGGAUGGAUUUGAGUAAGAGCAUACGGGGCCGGACCCGAAAGAAGGUGAACUAUGCCUGUAUAGGGUGAAGCCAGAGGAAACUCUGGUGGAGGCUCGCAGCGGUUCUGACGUGCAAAUCGAUCGUCAAAUAUGGGCAUGGGGGCGAAAGACUAAUCGAACCUUCUAGUAGCUGGUUUCCGCCGAAGUCUCCUCUCAGAAUAA